AUGUCAAAUAUAUACACAAAAUGGGACAGGGGAGUGAUCAUGUUAGUUAAAACAACAAGACUCUCCAAAGACCCAUGUCUUUGCAGAAAAGGGGUUAACCCAGACACAAUGCACUCCUGUCAACCAAGGGCAGAUUUACUGAGGUCAACCGAGGCAAAUGGGGUGUUUGCCAAGUCGAAAUGGAAAGGAUUUCCUGCAGCACUGAGACACAGGAACGGAGGACAAGGACACUAUCAGCACAGAGUGAAAGGCAGCUGCUGGCAGGCUAUUUGGCUGAAUAAGGAGAAGACAGACCAAAGUGAGAGCUAAUUACUCUAAAGAAGCCUUCAGAGAGAAGCAAGGGACAAGUGAUUUUCUCACACCAGGCUGGGUUUGUAAAACUCGAUCUUGUAAACCUUGGUCUCAGGGAACAAUUUGUUACAAAUACAACAAGACAAACCAAAACAAACAAGAGACCAGAAUUCCAUACUUCUCUUAAAAAUCUAGUUUCACGUUUGUUCUCAUUUAAAAUUCAGAAUGGAGAAUUGAACGCUGCUCGAACAACCAGAAUAAACAAAAGAUAAAAAAAGGACCCUUCCA
This is a long non-coding RNA of Mus spicilegus (steppe mouse), 579 nucleotides long. The record is from Ensembl. Lineage: Eukaryota; Metazoa; Chordata; Mammalia; Rodentia; Muridae.